This is a long non-coding RNA of Bubalus bubalis (water buffalo), 964 nucleotides long. RefSeq lists it as uncharacterized. The record is from RefSeq and is a predicted model, not a curated record. The transcript has 3 exons. NCBI's taxonomy places the organism in Eukaryota, Metazoa, Chordata, Mammalia, Artiodactyla, Bovidae.
AGACGGUUCACACGUGGCAGGCAGGCAGGAGGCAUGGAGGCUUGGGCUCAGAAGGAAAACAUGUAGACGCUGCUGCAAUUGCUGAGGACAGACGAUUCCCUGGUACCCGUGUGGGUCUGGACGCCUUCCAAGGGCUGCUGCUGCUGCUGCUAAGUCGCUUCAGUCGUGUCCGACUCUGUGAGACCCCAGAGACAGCAACAGAGAGUGAAGAGACGGAGCAGUUUAAGCCCAAAGCAGUGAUUCCAGGUCUGUAUCAUUCCUCCUAUAACUGCAACAGAAGAGCCUCAGAGUUGGUCCACGGGAUCCCCUCUGAAGCCAGCUCCCGUGUUGUGUUGCUGCGAGGACUUCCUUGCGUUCCUGUCAGCCCAGACCACCCAGGCUCACUGACUCGGAGGCGACAUUGACCCGUUAGAAACCUAGGUCUGCGUGCUCCGUGGAUUCACUGCUCAUAGGGUUUGUUAAGGUGCUUUCAGUGGACAGAGCUUGGUUGUUGUUGUUGUUUUUUUUCUGUUUUAUUCUGAAAACAAAACCAAAUCUUAAACCACAGAAUUCUUCCUCAUGUUUCUCUAUGGCUCUUAUUAACAUGUCAACUCAUUUGGGUGAUUCUAUCACAAAGCCAAAUAGGUUCAGAAUUAUUUUUAUGAUACCAAAUUAUCAGCAGAGUUAUUAAGUAAAAUUCAAGUUCUCUUUGGAAUUCUUUUCAUCUCUUUGUACAUCUAGUAAAGAUGUACAAAGUACUCAUUCAAAAGUUAGCUGAAUUAAUUUCUUUAAUAUAUGAUUACGCUGUUAUUUUGAUUGGAGGAGGAAGUGGCAACACACUCCAGUACUCUUGCCUGGAAAAUUCCACAGACAGAGGAGCCUGGUGGGCUACAGUCCAUGGGGGUCCCGCAGAGUCAGGAACGACUGAGAGACUAAGCAGAUACAUUACUUUGAUAUGCAUCUUGGUUAAUUUGCAACUACACUU